This 618-nucleotide ribosomal RNA is filed under the name Triticum aestivum (bread wheat). Its description in RNAcentral is "partial small subunit ribosomal RNA". The record is from RNAcentral. Lineage: Eukaryota; Viridiplantae; Streptophyta; Magnoliopsida; Poales; Poaceae.
AUGGAGUCCUCGCCGACGCCCGCGUCAGCAAUGCCGGCGCCGUCCCCCGCUUCGUCGUCGCGAUCGAGGGACAAUCGCCUCCUCGUCGGCUUCGACCUCCCGGCCUCCUGGGGGUACCGCCGGCCCAUGGCCUUCUGCAAGGACCCCGAGUCCAGCCCCCCUGCGGCGGCGGCGGCGGCGGGCGACGAGGCGCUGCGCAACAGCUCCCGAUCCCCGCCGAAAGCCGCCCCCGUGGCGGCGCCGGGGGAGGCUAAGCACGCCCCUCCGGCCGACGAGGGCGCCGCGGCGGAGGAAUCUGCCCGGAAGCAGUACUACCAGCUGAGGGACCGGAGGGGCGGCCGGGACGGCGCGGAGGACGCGCAGGAGCACAGGAAGCUCUGGAACAUGGACGGCGGCGGCUCCUCCUCCGGCGGCAGGAUUAGCGCCGGGUUCUCGGUGGAGCUCACCAAGCAGGAGAUCGAGGCGGACUUCCUCGCGAUGACCGGCAAGAAGCCGCCGCGCCGGUACAAGAGGCGGCCCAAGGCCGUCCAGCGCCAAAUCAACUCCAUCUCCCCCGGCGAGUUUCUCUCGGAGGUGAACCGCGAUCGCUACAAGGUGAACGAGAAAGGGGGAUUCUGA